GACGAACGCUGGCGGCGUGCUUAACACAUGCAAGUCGAACGGAAAGGCCCUGCUUUUGUGGGGUGCUCGAGUGGCGAACGGGUGAGUAACACGUGAGUAACCUGCCCUUGACUUUGGGAUAACUUCAGGAAACUGGGGCUAAUACCGGAUAGGAGCUCCUGCCGCAUGGUGGGGGUUGGAAAGUUUCGGCGGUUGGGGAUGGACUCGCGGCUUAUCAGCUUGUUGGUGGGGUAGUUGCUUACCAAGGCUUUGACGGGUAGCCGGCCUGAGAGGGUGACCGGCCACAUUGGGACUGAGAUACGGCCCAGACUCCUACGGGAGGCAGCAGUGGGGAAUUUUGCACAAUGGGCGGAAGCCUGAUGCAGCAACGCCGCGUGCGGGAUGACGGCCUUCGGGUUGUAAACCGCUUUCGCCUGUGACGAAGCGUGAGUGACGGUAAUGUGUAAAGAAGCACCGGCUAACUACGUG
Molecule: ribosomal RNA, 468 nt
Filed under: uncultured bacterium
Lineage: Bacteria
Description: partial 16S ribosomal RNA
Rfam family: Bacterial small subunit ribosomal RNA
Source: RNAcentral